Non-coding RNA from Pelobates cultripes (western spadefoot toad), 207 nucleotides. Lineage: Eukaryota; Metazoa; Chordata; Amphibia; Anura; Pelobatidae. The record is from the annotation of a GenBank genome assembly.
AGAUGAAAUGCCUUAGUAGGGAUGGACAUUGAAUAAAUAUACUGAAGAAAUGUAAUAUAAAUAACGUUAAAGUUUUCACUAAAAGGUACUGAUAAUAAUAUGAGCCAGAGUCACUGGGAUCUUUGUCAAAAGUAUGUCGAAGAUGAUGCAAUUAGUUUUUCUAGGUUUAAUAUAUUUUCCAGUAAACUUCAGACCGUAGAAUACUUA